GACGUAGGAGGCGAACGUUAUCCGGAAUUAUUGGGCGUAAAGGAUGCGUAGAUGGUGUGAUAAGUUAGCAGUGGUAAAUCGAGGCCCAACCUCGUGGAAACUGGUAAUACUAUUACACUUGAGGGUAGGAGAGGUUAACGGAACUCCCUGUGGAGCGGUGAAAUGCGUAGAUAUAGGGAAGAACACCAAUAAAGGCGAAGGCAGUUAACUAUUCUACUCCUGACAUUGAGGCAUGAAAGCGUGGGGAGCAAAACGG
Molecule: ribosomal RNA, 256 nt
Filed under: uncultured bacterium
Lineage: Bacteria
Description: partial 16S ribosomal RNA
Rfam family: Bacterial small subunit ribosomal RNA
Source: RNAcentral